GCGGGGGUAGCCAAGCCCGGACAACGGCGCGGGACUUAAGAUCCAGUCUCGCAGGAGUCCAUGGGUUCAAAAUCGCGGCCCGCUCC
This 86-nucleotide transfer RNA is filed under the name Euryarchaeota archaeon RBG_16_68_12. RNAcentral describes it as "tRNA-Leu". The record is from RNAcentral. Lineage: Archaea; Methanobacteriati; Methanobacteriota.